UGCAUUGCGUGCGACCUCCCUA
This 22-nucleotide microRNA is filed under the name Ornithorhynchus anatinus (platypus). RNAcentral describes it as "oan-miR-1421an-3p". The record is from miRBase by way of RNAcentral. Lineage: Eukaryota; Metazoa; Chordata; Mammalia; Monotremata; Ornithorhynchidae.